AACGCGAAGAACCUUACCUGGCCUUGACAUCCAGAGAACUUAGCAGAGAUGCUUUGGUGCCCUCGGGAACUCUGAGACAGGUGCUGCAUGGCUGUCGUCAGCUCGUGUUGUGAAAUGUUGGGUUAAGUCCCGCAACGAGCGCAACCCUUAUCCUUUGUUGCCAGCGGUUCGGCCGGGAACUCAAAGGAGACUGCCGGUGAUAAACCGGAGGAAGGCGGGGAUGACGUCAAGUCAUCAUGGCCCUUACGGCCAGGGCUACACACGUGCUACAAUGGCGCAUACAAAGAGAAGCGACCUCGCGAGAGCAAGCGGACCUCAUAAAGUGCGUCGUAGUCCGGAUUGGAGUCUGCAACUCGACUCCAUGAAGUCGGAAUCGCUAGUAAUCGUAGAUCAGAAUGCUACGGUGAAUACGUUCCC
RNAcentral lists this ribosomal RNA (417 nucleotides) under uncultured bacterium. Its description in RNAcentral is "bacterial SSU rRNA". It matches the Rfam family "Bacterial small subunit ribosomal RNA", at positions 958 to 1375 of the family's 1533-position model. The record is from RNAcentral.